This 258-nucleotide ribosomal RNA is filed under the name uncultured bacterium. RNAcentral describes it as "partial 16S ribosomal RNA". It matches the Rfam family "Bacterial small subunit ribosomal RNA", at positions 524 to 776 of the family's 1533-position model. The record is from RNAcentral.
UACGAAGGGGGCGAGCGUUGUUCGGAAUUACUGGGCGUAAAGGGCGCGCAGGCGGCUCUGAAAGUCAGAUGUGAAAGCCCCGGGCUUAACCUGGGAAUUGCAUUUGAUACUCGUGGAGCUUGAGUACGGGAGAGGAGAGUGGAAUUCCCAGUGUAGAAGGUGAAAUUCGUAGAUAUUGGGAAGAACACCGGUGGCGAAGGCGGCUCUCUGGACCGUAACUGACGCUGAGGCGGCGAAAAGCGGUGGGGAGCAAACAGG